GAUGAACGCUGGCGGCGUGCCUAAUACAUGCAAGUCGAGCGAACAGAUCAGGAGCUUGCUCCUCUGACGUUAGCGGCGGACGGGUCCGUCACAUGUGGAUAACAUAACUAUCAGACUGGGAUAACUUCGGGAAACAGGAGCUAAUACCGGAUAAUAUAUUGCAUUGCAUGGUUCCCUCGUGAAAGUCGGUUUUGCUGUCACUUAUAGCUUGAUCCGCGCAGCAUUCGCUAGUUGGUAAGGUAACGGCUUACCCAGGCGACGAUGCGUAACCGACCUGAAAGCGUGAUCGGCCAGACUGGAACUGAGGCACAGUCCAGACACCUGCGGGGAGCAACAGUAGAGAAUCUUCCGCAAUGGGCGAGUGGCUGACGGAGCAACACCGCGUGAGUGAUGAAGGACUUCGGAUCGGAGAACGCUGUUAGUAGGGGAGAACAAAAGUGUAAGUAACUAUGCACGUCUUGACGGUACCUAGACAGAAAGCCACGGCUAACUACGUG
RNAcentral lists this ribosomal RNA (497 nucleotides) under uncultured bacterium. RNAcentral describes it as "partial 16S ribosomal RNA". It matches the Rfam family "Bacterial small subunit ribosomal RNA", at positions 28 to 507 of the family's 1533-position model. The record is from RNAcentral.